UCGUGGAACUCACUCUGUAGACCAGGCUGGCCUCGAACUCAGAAAUCCACCUGCCUCUGCCUCCCAAGUGCUGGGAUUAAAGGCAUGCACCACCACUGCCCG
This 102-nucleotide microRNA precursor is filed under the name Mus caroli (Ryukyu mouse). RNAcentral's name for it is "miRNA (MGP_CAROLIEiJ_G0007082.1)". The record is from RNAcentral. Lineage: Eukaryota; Metazoa; Chordata; Mammalia; Rodentia; Muridae.